ACGGGUGAGUAACACGUAGGUAACCUGCCUUUAAGACUGGGAUAACUAUCGGAAACGAUAGCUAAGACCGGAUAACUGGUUUUCUCGCAUGAGAGAAUCAUAAAACACGGAGCAAUCUGUGGCUUGAAGAUGGGCCUGCGGCGCAUUAGCUAGUUGGUGAGGUAACGGCUCACCAAGGCGACGAUGCGUAGCCGACCUGAGAGGGUGAACGGCCACACUGGGACUGAGACACGGCCCAGACUCCUACGGGAGGCAGCAGUAGGGAAUCUUCCGCAAUGGACGCAAGUCUGACGGAGCAACGCCGCGUGAGUGAUGAAGGUUUUCGGAUCGUAAAGCUCUGUUGCCCUAGACGAACAGCAAGAGGAGUAACUGCCUUUUGUGUGACGGUAUAGGAGAAGAAAGCCCCGGCUAACUACGUGCCAGCAGCCGCGGUAAUACGUAGGGGGCAAGCGUUGUCCGGAAUUAUUGGGCGUAAAGCGCGCGCAGGCGGUCAUUUAAGUCUGGUGUUUAAUCCUGGGGCUCAACCCCAGUUCGCAUCGGAAACUGGAUGACUUGAGUGUAGGAGAGGAAAGUGGAAUUCCACGUGUA
Molecule: ribosomal RNA, 588 nt
Filed under: uncultured bacterium
Lineage: Bacteria
Description: bacterial SSU rRNA
Rfam family: Bacterial small subunit ribosomal RNA
Source: RNAcentral